Molecule: ribosomal RNA, 497 nt
Filed under: uncultured bacterium
Lineage: Bacteria
Description: partial 16S ribosomal RNA
Rfam family: Bacterial small subunit ribosomal RNA
Source: RNAcentral
GUUGAACGCUGGCGGCGUGCCUAAUACAUGCAAGUCGAGCGAACAGACGAGGAGCUUGCUCCUCUGACGUUAGCGGCGGACGGGUGAGUAACACGUGGAUAACCUACCUAUAAGACUGGGAUAACUUCGGGAAACCGGAGCUAAUACCGGAUAAUAUAUUGAACCGCAUGGUUCAAUAGUGAAAGACGGUUUUGCUGUCACUUAUAGAUGGAUCCGCGCUGCAUUAGCUAGUUGGUAAGGUAACGGCUUACCAAGGCAACGAUGCAUAGCCGACCUGAGAGGGUGAGCGGCCACACUGGAACUGAGACACGGUCCAGACUCCUACGGGAGGCAGCAGUAGGGAAUCUUCCGCAAUGGGCGAAAGCCUGACGGAGCAACGCCGCGUGAGUGAUGAAGGUCUUCGGAUCGUAAAACUCUGUUAUUAGGGAAGAACAAAUGUGUAAGUAACUAUGCACGUCUUGACGGUACCUAAUCAGAAAGCCACGGCUAACUACGUG